UACAGAGGUGGCAAGCGUUGUUCGGAAUUACUGGGCGUAAAGGGCGCGUAGGCGGUCCUGUAAGUCCCGUGUGAAAUCCCCCGGCUCAACUGGGGAAUGGCACGGGAGACUGCGGGGCUUGAGUUCGGGAGAGGGAAGCGGAAUUCCGGGUGUAGCGGUGAAAUGCGUAGAUAUCCGGAGGAACACCGGUGGCGAAGGCGGCUUCCUGGACCGACACUGACGCUAAGGCGCGAAAGCUAGGGGAGCAAACGGGAUUAGAUACCCCGGUAGUCCUAGCUGUAAACGAUGAGUGCUGGGUGUGGGGGGUAUUAAACCCCUCCGUGCCGAAGCUAACGCAUUAAGCACUCCGCCUGGGGAGUACGGUCGCAAGGCUGAA
Molecule: ribosomal RNA, 376 nt
Filed under: uncultured bacterium
Lineage: Bacteria
Description: bacterial SSU rRNA
Rfam family: Bacterial small subunit ribosomal RNA
Source: RNAcentral